CAUCCAUCAUAUUUCAAACUCCAUAUGUCAUAAUCUCUUGCGAUCCUUUUAUACAUAAUCUCAAUGUUUAAUCAAAAUUUUUAAAUAAUUUUUCCACUACAAUCAUCAAAGAUCUACACUAUAAUGUUCCUAGUGUCUAUCCACCUACACCCAUUCUAUAUCUGAUUUUAUAUUUCAUAAUUCAUCCACUUAUGCUCUGAUACCACUAUAAUUAUCACGCCCCC
Molecule: long non-coding RNA, 224 nt
Filed under: Elaeis guineensis (African oil palm)
Lineage: Eukaryota; Viridiplantae; Streptophyta; Magnoliopsida; Arecales; Arecaceae
Description: long non-coding RNA (EGUI_LNC009359)
Source: RNAcentral